This 235-nucleotide long non-coding RNA is filed under the name Panax ginseng (ginseng). RNAcentral describes it as "long non-coding RNA (PGIN_LNC016521)". Lineage: Eukaryota; Viridiplantae; Streptophyta; Magnoliopsida; Apiales; Araliaceae. The record is from RNAcentral.
UUAACAAUCCAGAACAUUAAUAGACUCCUUAUUACACAACUUUAAACAAUCAAUUGCAUCAAUUAACAUCGAAUCGAAGGAUUUCUAGAAUUUAGGGUUUUUACCUCUUUUCGCUUUGAUUUUUGAUUUCUGACUUCUUGAUGCUUCUGAUUUGUGGUUUGUGAUGGUUGGGCUUUGAUUAUGAGCUUAUGGGUAAGAUAAUUUCGUUGGUUAGAACUUGAGAGAGUGUGGCUAG